GAGUCCAAGACCACCGCUCUUGUAUUGCCCGCCCCGAGCUGAGCCUUGCUGGUUCUCUCCCCUUCCCUACCCCAUCUCCUGUUCGCCCCCCCCCCCCAACUUCCUGCAUUUGCUGGCUACCUUCCCAGCUCUGGACCUCGGCUCGCUCUUCCAAAUUCCAGCAGUUUCUCUCCCAUUUGUUGGGUGUCACUGCGGACAGAUAACUGGUGACGCAGUCCAUCUCCCCAACACCCUGCCCUCAGAGCUGUCUGCACACGCGGGCCCAGGUACAGCAAGGAGAUCUAUGCCCACCUGACACGGGUAAGCCUUUGAUUCCUCCUGGCACAAAGAGGUAUGAAGCCUGCUCGAGACUCGAUGCUUUGCUGCCAGAUAGAAAGAUGUUAAAGGCAAAGUAGCAUCACUUCCAGUCUUGACGUCUCUGAAAGCCUGAAGGCCCAACUGCUUUCUACAUCUGCUUUCCUGCAUUUCCUCCGACGCAUGGAGAAAAACGUGUCCAAUGCACGAGCCUACUGGAACCCAGGCAAGGAAUGCAAACGAGUGAGGUGGCCCAUGACAGGGGUGCUGGGGACCCAGGCAAACUGGAGGGCCCGGGCCCUGUCCAAAGAAACGUGGUGCCCAUUCAGCUCCUGCCCGCUGCUCCCCCAUAGAAACCCGAGCUCAGAGCUGCUGGAGCCACCCAUUUCUCUAGAGAUUCUGGAAAUCUGAACUUUUCUGUAAAACCUCCAUGUUUUUUGCCAAAAUGUUAAAAAACAAAAAACAAACAAACAAAAAAACCUUCUAUAAGAGUGCAUACAAACAUGUGGACAUGUCACUUUUAAAGGGGACAGCCCAAACCGGAAAUAACCCUCCGGUCCUUCCGCAGGUGAACAGAUAAGCCAGGUCAGGUGUGUGGAUAUGACACAUACUAGCGGUUUAUACGUACAAUACUAUACCCACACGAUACGCACUGCUCAUCAAUGAGUAAACCAGGACUCUCGAUUCUGCUGAGUGAAAGAAGCCAAAUGGAAGAACCCAGUGCAUACGG
Long non-coding RNA from Lutra lutra (Eurasian river otter), 1024 nucleotides. RefSeq lists it as uncharacterized. Lineage: Eukaryota; Metazoa; Chordata; Mammalia; Carnivora; Mustelidae. The record is from RefSeq and is a predicted model, not a curated record. The transcript is spliced from 3 exons.